GGGAAUGUGGCUCAGUUAUAGAGUGCUUGCCUAGCAUGCAUGAAGCCCUGGGUUCGAUUCCUCAGUACCA
This 70-nucleotide transfer RNA is filed under the name Dipodomys ordii (Ord's kangaroo rat). It matches the Rfam family "tRNA". Rfam says of the family: Transfer RNA (tRNA) molecules are approximately 80 nucleotides in length. Lineage: Eukaryota; Metazoa; Chordata; Mammalia; Rodentia; Heteromyidae. The record is from Rfam by way of RNAcentral.